This is a non-coding RNA of Cladorrhinum sp. PSN332, 92 nucleotides long. Lineage: Eukaryota; Fungi; Ascomycota; Sordariomycetes; Sordariales; Podosporaceae. The record is from the annotation of a GenBank genome assembly.
GGUCCGCUGGCGUAAUGGCAGCGCGUCUGACUACGAUCUCGAGACUCGAGUGUGAUAUCAGGAGGUUCCAGGUUCGACCCCUGGGCGGAUCG